GUCUAUGUAGUAUAUCAAUUAUUCUGGUCUUGUAAGCCAGAGAAGAGGAAAAA
RNAcentral lists this transfer RNA (53 nucleotides) under Nycticeinops schlieffeni. RNAcentral's name for it is "partial tRNA-Thr". The record is from RNAcentral. Lineage: Eukaryota; Metazoa; Chordata; Mammalia; Chiroptera; Vespertilionidae.